This 73-nucleotide transfer RNA is filed under the name Cricetulus griseus (Chinese hamster). It matches the Rfam family "tRNA". Rfam says of the family: Transfer RNA (tRNA) molecules are approximately 80 nucleotides in length. Their secondary structure includes four short double-helical elements and three loops (D, anti-codon, and T loops). The record is from Rfam by way of RNAcentral. Lineage: Eukaryota; Metazoa; Chordata; Mammalia; Rodentia; Cricetidae.
GCCCAGCUAGCUCAGUCACUAGAACAUGAGACUCUUAAUCUCAGGGUUGUGGGUUUGUUCCUCACGUUGGGCA